UAGGGAAUCUUCCACAAUGGGCGCAAGCCUGAUGGAGCAACGCCGCGUGAGUGAAGACGGCCUUCGGGUUGUAAAGCUCUGUCUGUCGGGACGAAGACCGGGACGGGAGUCCCGGGGAGCCGGUACCGACGAAGGAAGCCCCUGCAAACUACGUGCCAGCAGCCGCGGUAAGACGUAGGGGGCAAGCGUUGUCCGGAAUUACUGGGCGUAAAGGGCGUGUAGGCGGUGCGAUACGUAGCGGUUUUAAGCCUCCGGCUCACCCGGAGGAGGGCGGCUAAACGGUCGCACUGGAGGGCAGGAGAAGUGCGUUGGAAUUCUGGUGGAGCGGUGAAAUGCGUAGAGAUCAGGAAGAACACCAGUGGCGAAGGCGGCGCACUGGCCUGACCCUGACGCUGAGGCCGACAGCGUUGGGGACAAACGGGAUUAGAUACCCCGGUAGUCCACGCCGUAAACGAUGGAUUACUAAGUGGUCGUGGGGGGUCAACCCUGCGGUGCCGGAGCUAACGCACUAAAUUUUCCCGCCUGGGGGAGUUACGGGCCGCAANGGUUG
This 550-nucleotide ribosomal RNA is filed under the name uncultured Sulfobacillus sp. RNAcentral's name for it is "bacterial SSU rRNA". It matches the Rfam family "Bacterial small subunit ribosomal RNA", at positions 355 to 896 of the family's 1533-position model. The record is from RNAcentral. Lineage: Bacteria; Bacillati; Bacillota; Clostridia; Eubacteriales; Clostridiales Family XVII. Incertae Sedis.